AUGUCAGUUCCUAUUUAUUGCAUGUUUUAUGUUUCGCAGAAACCCAAUAUCAAACGGAGUCCAAAUGGGAUAAAAACGGAUGGAGGAUUAUUUUGGAAUAUUUGGGAUUUUCCGGAGGAAGAAUCAACGCGAAACGGUGCUCGAGGUGGCCAGGAGAUAGCCCCCCCUGGGCGUGCCUGGCACUCUCCAGGGCCACCCAUAAGGCAGUUGACGCUCUUCUUUUUCUGCAAGAAAGAUAAUUUUAUGACAAAAAUCUGGGCGAAAGAUUCACCCCAAUCGGAGUUACGCAUCUCCAGAUAUAAAAGAAACGGUGAAGGGGCAGAAUCUGGGAACGCAGAAACAGAGAGAGACAGAGAGAUAGAUCCAAUCUUGGAGGGGAUCUCGCCCCUCCCACGCCAUGGGAGCCAAGGACCAGAGGGGAAACCCUUCUCCCGUCUAGGGAGGAGGUCAAGGAAGAAGAAGAAUAAGAUGGGGGGCCGUCUCCCCCUUGCUUCCGGUGGCGCCGGAGCGCUGCCGGGGGCCAUCAUCAUCACCGCGAUCUUCACCAACACCUCCGCCAUCUUCACCAACAUCUCCAUCACCUUCCCCCCUCUAUCUACAGCAUUCCACUCUCCCGCAACCCGAUGUACCCUCUACUUGAACAUGGUGCUUUAUGCUUCAUAUUAUUAUCCAAUGAUGUGUUGUCAUCCUAUGAUGUGUGAGUAG
RNAcentral lists this ribosomal RNA (705 nucleotides) under Triticum aestivum (bread wheat). Its description in RNAcentral is "partial small subunit ribosomal RNA". Lineage: Eukaryota; Viridiplantae; Streptophyta; Magnoliopsida; Poales; Poaceae. The record is from RNAcentral.